CUGGGGAGAGCACCCCUUAACCCCAAUUUGCUUGGAAUGUUCCAUAAUCUAUAUGUGCUCUUGCCAGUUCAUUGGGUUCCAUCAUUUCCUUACCCCUUCCCAGUCUAGCUGGAUUGCAGAGUUAAGUUUAUGAUUAUGAAAUAAAA
Molecule: long non-coding RNA, 146 nt
Organism: Pipistrellus kuhlii (Kuhl's pipistrelle)
Lineage: Eukaryota; Metazoa; Chordata; Mammalia; Chiroptera; Vespertilionidae
Exons: 3
Source: RefSeq, a predicted model, not a curated record